UACGAAGGGUGCUAGCGUUGUUCGGAAUCACUGGGCGUAAAGCGCGCGUAGGCGGCUUAACAAGUCAGGGGUGAAAUCCCACAGCUCAACUGUGGAACUGCCUUUGAAACUGUUAAGCUGGAGUGUCGGAGGGGAUGGCGGAAUUCCUAAUGUAGAGGUGAAAUUCGUAGAUAUUAGGAGGAACACCGGUGGCGAAGGCGGCCAUCUGGACGACAACUGACGCUGAGGCGCGAAAGCGUGGGGAUCAAACAGG
Molecule: ribosomal RNA, 253 nt
Filed under: uncultured bacterium
Lineage: Bacteria
Description: partial 16S ribosomal RNA
Rfam family: Bacterial small subunit ribosomal RNA
Source: RNAcentral